RNAcentral lists this ribosomal RNA (465 nucleotides) under uncultured bacterium. RNAcentral describes it as "partial 16S ribosomal RNA". It matches the Rfam family "Bacterial small subunit ribosomal RNA", at positions 28 to 507 of the family's 1533-position model. The record is from RNAcentral.
GAUGAACGCUGGCGGCGUGCUUAACACAUGCAAGUCGAACGGAAAGGCUCCUGCUUGCAGGGGUACUCGAGUGGCGAACGGGUGAGUAACACGUGGGUGAUCUGCCCUGCACUUCGGGAUAAGCCUGGGAAACUGGGUCUAAUACCGGAUAGGACGAUGGUUUGGAUGCCAUUGUGGAAAGUUUUUCGGUGUGGGAUGAGCUCGCGGCCUAUCAGCUUGUUGGUGGGGUAAUGGCCUACCAAGGCGUCGACGGGUAGCCGGCCUGAGAGGGUGUACGGCCACAUUGGGACUGAGAUACGGCCCAGACUCCUACGGGAGGCAGCAGUGGGGAAUAUUGCACAAUGGGCGCAAGCCUGAUGCAGCGACGCCGCGUGGGGGAUGUCGGCCUUCGGGUUGUAAACUCCUUUCGCUAGGGACGAAGCGCAAGUGACGGUACCUGGAGAAGAAGCACCGGCUAACUACGUG